RNAcentral lists this ribosomal RNA (915 nucleotides) under uncultured archaeon. RNAcentral describes it as "bacterial SSU rRNA". It matches the Rfam family "Archaeal small subunit ribosomal RNA", at positions 1 to 922 of the family's 1478-position model. The record is from RNAcentral.
UUCCGGUUGAUCCUGCCGGAGGUCACUGCUAUUGGGAUUCGACUAAGCCAUGCGAGUCGAGAGGGUUCGGCCCUCGGCUGACGGCUCAGUAACACGUGGAUAAUCUGCCCUUAGGUGGAGGAUAAUCUCGGGAAACUGAGGAUAAUACUCCAUAGAUCUAGGAUGCUGGAAUGCAUCUAGAUUGAAAGCUCCGGCGCCUAAGGAUGAGUCUGCGGACUAUCAGGUUGUAGUCAGGGUAAAGACCUGACUAGCCUACGACGGAUACGGGUUGUGAGAGCAAUAACCUGGAGACGAUAUCUGAGACACGAUAUCGGGCCCUACGGGGCGCAGCAGGCGCGAAAACUUCACACUGUGCGAAAGCGCGAUGAGGGAAUCCCAAGUGUUUGCUCGUAAGAGUAAACUGUUUCUUUGUUUAAAACGCAGAGAGAGUAAGGGCUGGGUAAGACGGGUGCCAGCCGCCGCGGUAAUACCUGCAGCUCAAGUGGUGAUCAUUAUUAUUGGGCCUAAAACGUCCGUAGCCGGUUUAGUAAAUGCCUGGGUAAAUCGUGUAGCUUAACUAUACGACUUCCGGGUAGACUGCUAGACUUGAGACCGGGAGAGGCUAGAGGUACUCCUGGGGUAGAGGUGAAAUUCUGUAAUCCUAGGGGGACCACCAGUGGCGAAGGCGUCUAGCUAGAACGGGUCUGACGGUGAGGGACGAAGCCCUGGGGCACAAACCGGAUUAGAUACCCGGGUAGUCCAGGGUGUAAACGCUGCUUGCUUGAUGUUAGUUGGGCUCCGAGCCCAACUAGUGUCGGAGAGAAGUUGUUAAGCAAGCUGCCUGGGAAGUACGGUCGCAAGGCUGAAACUUAAAGGAAUUGGCGGGGGAGCACAGCAACGGGUGGAGCGUGCGGUUUAAUUGGAUUCAACGCCGGG